Triticum aestivum (bread wheat) is the source of this 115-nucleotide non-coding RNA. The record is from Rfam. NCBI's taxonomy places the organism in Eukaryota, Viridiplantae, Streptophyta, Magnoliopsida, Poales, Poaceae.
UACGUACUCCUUCCGUUCGGAAUUACUUGUCACGGAAAUGAAUGUAUCUAGACAUAUUUUAGUUCUAGAUACAUCCAUUUCCGAGACAAGUAGUUCCGAACGAAGGGAGUAGAUG